This 253-nucleotide ribosomal RNA is filed under the name uncultured bacterium. RNAcentral's name for it is "partial 16S ribosomal RNA". It matches the Rfam family "Bacterial small subunit ribosomal RNA", at positions 524 to 776 of the family's 1533-position model. The record is from RNAcentral.
GACGAAGGGGGCUAGCGUUGUUCGGAAUUACUGGGCGUAAAGCGUGUGUAGGUGGUUGUCUUAGUCAGGUGUGAAAGCCUUGAGCUCAACUCAAGAAAUGCACUUGAUACUGGGCAGCUAGAGGACCGGAGAGGAUAGUGGAAUUCCCAGUGUAGUGGUGAAAUACGUAGAGAUUGGGAAGAACACCAGUGGCGAAGGCGGCUAUCUGGACGGUUUCUGACACUAAGACACGAAAGCGUGGGGAGCAAACAGG